This 473-nucleotide ribosomal RNA is filed under the name uncultured bacterium. RNAcentral's name for it is "partial 16S ribosomal RNA". It matches the Rfam family "Bacterial small subunit ribosomal RNA", at positions 28 to 523 of the family's 1533-position model. The record is from RNAcentral.
GACGAACGCUGGCGGCGUGCUUAACACAUGCAAGUUGAACGGGUCAUAUAUGAAGGGUAACCGGAGUGUAUGGCUAGUGGCGAACGGGUGAGUAAUGCAUGAGAACGUAUCCUCAAGAGGGGGACAACAUUGGGAAACCGAUGCUAAUACCCCAUAAGCCGGGAGGUAAAAGGAGGAAUCCGCUUGAGGAGCGGCUCAUGUCCUAUCAGCUAGUUGGCGAGGUAACGGCUCACCAAGGCGAAGACGGGUAGCCGGCCUGAGAGGGUGAACGGCCACAGUGGAACUGAGAGACGGUCCAGACUCCUACGGGAGGCAGCAGUGGGGAAUAUUGGGCAAUGGGGGAAACCCUGACCCAGCGACGCCGCGUGAGGGAAGAAGGCCUUAGGGUCGUAAACCCCUGUUGUGUGGGAAGAAGAGCGUGACGGUACCACACGAGGAAGUCCCGGCUAACUACGUGCCAGCCGCCGCCGUAA